AACGAACGCUGGCGGCAGGCCUAACACAUGCAAGUCGAACGCUCCGCAAGGGGAGUGGCGCACGGGUGAGUAACGCGUGGGAAUAUGCCCUUCGGUUCGGAAUAACACAGGGAAACUUGUGCUAAUACCGGAUACGAUCUACGGAUGAAAGAUUUAUCGCCGAGGGAGUAGCCCGCGUAGGAUUAGCUAGUUGUUCAGGUAAUGGCUCACCAAGGCGACGAUGCUUAGCUGGUCGGGGAGGAGGAUCAGCCACACUGGGACUGAGACACGGCCCAGACUCCUACGGGAGGCAGCAGUGGGGAAUAUUGGACAAUGGGCGAAAGCCUGAUCCAGCCAUGCCGCGUGAGUGAUGAAGGCCUUAGGGUUGUAAAGCUCUUUCGCCAGGGAAGAUAAUGACGGUACCUGGAAAAGAAGCCUCGGCUAACUCCGUGCCAGCCGCCGCCGUAA
This 447-nucleotide ribosomal RNA is filed under the name uncultured bacterium. RNAcentral's name for it is "partial 16S ribosomal RNA". It matches the Rfam family "Bacterial small subunit ribosomal RNA", at positions 29 to 523 of the family's 1533-position model. The record is from RNAcentral.